This 225-nucleotide ribosomal RNA is filed under the name uncultured bacterium. RNAcentral describes it as "partial 16S ribosomal RNA". It matches the Rfam family "Bacterial small subunit ribosomal RNA", at positions 111 to 334 of the family's 1533-position model. The record is from RNAcentral.
UAACGUGUGGGCAACCUGCCCUGUACUGGGGAAUAAUCAUUGGAAACGAUGACUAAUACCGCAUGUGGUCCUCGGAAGGCAUCUUCUGAGGAAGAAAGGAUUUAUUCGGUACAGGAUGGGCCCGUAUCUGAUUAGCUAGUUGGUGAGAUAACAGCCCACCAAGGCGACGAUCAGUAGCCGACCUGAGAGGGUGAUCGGCCACAUUGGGACUGAGACACGGCCCAA